CGGUGAGGUAGAGGCGCGAAUGCGAUAAUUACCUUUUUUGAGGAUGACAACGUGGAGAAAAAGGGAAAGGCAAGUUCGCCGAAGUGUAUAAAGUUCGUCAAGACUUCAUAUGCUGGGACUGUAUCGAAUAGAUGCAGCACUGUCACAGUUGUAAGACUGUGGAGAACUACUGCUGAA
Molecule: non-coding RNA, 177 nt
Filed under: Alkalihalobacillus pseudalcaliphilus
Lineage: Bacteria; Bacillati; Bacillota; Bacilli; Caryophanales; Bacillaceae
Description: Bacillus pseudalcaliphilus Lysine sequence
Rfam family: Lysine riboswitch aptamer
About the family: Riboswitches are metabolite binding domains within certain messenger RNAs that serve as precision sensors for their corresponding targets.
Source: RNAcentral